Molecule: ribosomal RNA, 382 nt
Filed under: uncultured bacterium
Lineage: Bacteria
Description: bacterial SSU rRNA
Rfam family: Bacterial small subunit ribosomal RNA
Source: RNAcentral
CGGUAAUACGGAGGGUGCGAGCGUUAUCUGGAAUUACUGGGCGUAAAGCGCGUGUAGGCGGGGAUGCAAGUCUGAUGUGAAAGCCCCGGGCUUAACCUGGGAAGUGCAUUGGAAACUGCAUUUCUUGAGUGCUGGAGAGGAAGGGGGAAUUCCCGGUGUAGAGGUGAAAUUCGUAGAGAUCGGGAGGAAUACCAGUGGCGAAGGCGCCCUUCUGGACGGCAACUGACGCUGAGACGCGAAAGCGUGGGGAGCAAACAGGAUUAGAUACCCUGGUGACUCACGCUGUAAACGAUGAUCAUCAGGUGUAGCGGGUAUCUAUUCCUGCUGUGCCGCAGCUAACGCGUUAAGUGAUCCGCCUGGGGACUACGGUCGCAAGACUAAA